AUAAGGUAAAAUAACAGAAUAAAUAAACUUGUUAAUGUUAAUGUCUUUUCACUUAGGCUCGGCGGUACGGUUACUUCUUCAGCAGGUACUUCCAUGGUUUUUGGAUGGCCUCCGUUUGUCUAUCAUUGAUAAUCUGCGCGUGUUGCCUGUUUUUAUAUAUUUGUAUGUUUUCAGCAGUCUGAAGCUCCUCUAUCCUCGUGAUGUUUUUAAUUACUUUACUUUCUUGCCAUUCGACGUUGAUGUUGUUCUCAUAAGCCUUCCUGGCCAGAGCUGUCAUUAAAUUUGUGUUCUUUAUGUCUUUUUU
This 304-nucleotide long non-coding RNA is filed under the name Androctonus crassicauda. Lineage: Eukaryota; Metazoa; Arthropoda; Arachnida; Scorpiones; Buthidae. The record is from RNAcentral.